Pantherophis guttatus is the source of this 724-nucleotide non-coding RNA. NCBI's taxonomy places the organism in Eukaryota, Metazoa, Chordata, Lepidosauria, Squamata, Colubridae. The record is from RefSeq and is a predicted model, not a curated record.
CCCAUUUAUUUUAGCCAACAGCACCUUUGCCAUACAGUUAGCUCCAACUGCUUGUUAGUUUCGCACUAUUUGUCUAUAUCUUGCAAUAAUUCCCUCCUGAUCUCUACUUUUUGCAUCACAAAUGACAUGACAAGGAGCCUUGAUAGUACAGAGGUUUAGUGCACCCUGUUAUUAACACAGCUGCCUGCAAUUUCUGCUGGUUCGAAUCUCUCCAAGGUUCAAGGUUGACUCAGCCUUCCAUCCUUUCUAAGUAACCUGCACAGUCAUUUUGGGUGGCCUCCAAAUCCAGUGCACUCCUGGUAGAGGGCGCCUAUUGAGCCCAGCCAUGGCUCGCCACAAGACCGUUCACACACACAACGCUCCUGCAACGAUGCCAAGAGGGGAUGUGCACUGGGUGGCUAGGUUUUGGUGGUGGCGGCGGGUCACAAGUGGACUAUUGGUGGUGGUAGAAGGAGUGCGAGAAGAGGGGAGGCGUGGACAACGGAUCAACAUCAUCAUGGCUUUGGGAGCAUCGUGAUCCUGUAUCCUGGCUAGAACAAGCAGGAAGCGGCUGCCGAUAACUCCAAACAACUGAGAUGUGCUACGAGGGUGGGGCACGGGCAGCGCAGCUUGUUUAAAUUGCGCUGAGCUGCAGUUGCUCUCAGCGCCGACUUUGUAUGGAGAAUACUCGUCUUUUCCUGAUUCCCGUGUAUAGCGAAUUAAAACCAAGCACUGAUCAUCCAAA